GCUAGCAUAUCAAUAAGCGGAGGAAAAGAAACCAACAGGGAUUGCCCUAGUAACGGCGAGUGAAGCGGCAACAGCUCAAAUUUGAAAUCUGGCUCUUUCAGGGUCCGAGUUGUAAUUUGCAGAGGGUGCUUUGGUGUUGGCGGCGGUCUAAGUUCCUUGGAACAGGACAUCGCAGAGGGUGAGAAUCCCGUAUGUGGUCGCCUGCCUUCGCCGUGUAAAGCCCCUUCGACGAGUCGAGUUGUUUGGGAAUGCAGCUCUAAAUGGGAGGUAAAUUUCUUCUAAAGCUAAAUACCGGCCAGAGACCGAUAGCGCACAAGUAGAGUGAUCGAAAGAUGAAAAGCACUUUGGAAAGAGAGUCAAACAGCACGUGAAAUUGUUAAAAGGGAAGCGCUUGCAGCCAGACUUGCCUGUAGUUGCUCGCCUGGGCUUUUGCCCGGGUUACUCUUCUGCAGGCAGGCCAGCAUCAGUUUGGGCGGUCGGAUAAAGGUCCCUUUCACGUAUCUCCCUUCGGGGUUAACAUAUAGGGGGGACGUAAUGCGACCAGCCUGGACUGAGGUCCGCGCAUCUGCUAGGAUGCUGGCGUAAUGGCUGUAAGCGGCCCGUCUUGAAACACGGACCAAGGAGUCUAACAUCUAUGCGAGUGUUUGGGUGUCAAGCCCGAGCGCGUAAUGAAAGUGAACGGAGGUGGGAACCCCUCGGGGCGCACCAUCGACCGAUCCUGAUGUCUUCGGAUGGAUUUGAGUAAGAGCAUAGCUGUUGGGACCCGAAAGAUGGUGAACUAUGCUUGAAUAGGGUGAAGCCAGAGGAAACUCUGGUGGAGGCUCGCAGCGGUUCUGACGUGCAAAUCGAUCGUCAAAUUUGGGCAUAGGGGCGAAAGACUAAUCGAACUAUCUAGUAGCUGGGUUCCUGCCGAGUCU
Molecule: ribosomal RNA, 917 nt
Filed under: Periconia byssoides
Lineage: Eukaryota; Fungi; Ascomycota; Dothideomycetes; Pleosporales; Periconiaceae
Description: partial large subunit ribosomal RNA
Rfam family: Eukaryotic large subunit ribosomal RNA
Source: RNAcentral